Molecule: ribosomal RNA, 253 nt
Filed under: uncultured bacterium
Lineage: Bacteria
Description: partial 16S ribosomal RNA
Rfam family: Bacterial small subunit ribosomal RNA
Source: RNAcentral
UACAGAGGGUGCGAGCGUUAAUCGGAAUUACUGGGCGUAAAGCGCGCGUAGGCGGCUUUGCAAGUCGGGUGUGAAAUCCCCAGGCUUAACCUGGGAACUGCAUUCGAGACUGCAUUGCUAGAGUAUGGGAGAGGGAAGUGGAAUUUCCGGUGUAGCGGUGAAAUGCGUAGAUAUCGGGAGGAACACCAGUGGCGAAGGCGACUUCCUGGCCUGUUCUUGACGCUGAGGCGCGAAAGCUAGGGGAGCAAACGGG